Molecule: long non-coding RNA, 2896 nt
Organism: Culex pipiens pallens (northern house mosquito)
Lineage: Eukaryota; Metazoa; Arthropoda; Insecta; Diptera; Culicidae
Exons: 2
Source: RefSeq, a predicted model, not a curated record
CAUUUUGACAUUUUGACAUUUUGACAUUUUGACAUUUUGACAUUUCUCGGAUUAGUUUUAUUUAAAAAAAACAUUUAUGGGCGCGUUGUAUAUGAUUGACCCAAUCCUUGAUAACAUAUGUCCGUCAUAUGUGUACGGCCCCUAGCUAGAAACUGUCAUCGGCCUUAGAAGAUCGUUUGUGAUGGUGUGGUUUCGUAGAUAAUUAUGACAAAAAUGGAUUUCAAUUAGGUUUUCGUGCAUUAUUUGACCAAAAUAGGAUACAAAAAUUUCUAUGAACAGGUUAUGGCCGGACGAUGACCCUCCCCAGCCCUAGAUGUUCCAGUUUUCCGGAAAGGCGGCGAAAGACGAACAACCAUCUCAGGAAUCAGGAGGACUGUUGGAGAAAAGCAAGCAGGUCCAAAUCCAAAUAGUGAUAGCGCCGGAUCACAACUGUUCUCGCGGGAACUCGUUUAUUCUGGAUGGGCAUGGAUCGAAAAAGCAAGCUUGGACGAUGGCCGUUUGCUGUCAUUAUUUUAAAUUGUGAAUUUAGUGUUGUUUUGAUUUUUAAAACAAAUUAAAUGUUGCUGUUUUGAUUUUUGAAAUGUGCGUGUUGGUUUGAACAAAUUAUUUGAAAUGACCGUGCAAGCCGGUACGAAUGCAAAAGAGCCGACGACAGCGCUGUCCAAGCGGUGGGAUUUGGAACUAAAGUUCAUUCUGCACGUACACUAACACAAUCAAGAAACACGGCGAACGGGAGUGCACAAUACAUAGAGAGAAACGUCAAAACUGGGUCGAAUGAAUUUGACUGAUUUUGACGGAGAUUUCUGAUAAAGAUUUGACGGAGAAUUCUCUGAUAGAGACGCUCUAUCAGAGAAUUUCUGAUAAAUAAACGGAGAAUUUCGGUAGAUUUGACCGAAGUCUGGUUUGCGUGUAUACCAGAUUAUGUCCUCCAAAGGACAGGGAAUGAACUCCGCUGUGAGCUUCAUGUUUUUAAUUCAUUUCAAAACUCAAUGAGUCCAGGAGCUCAAACCCAGGAUCUUCACAAUUUCAACACAAAUCAAUGUUGUAAUUCCCUUCAAAUUUCCCGGAAAAUCCAUCAAACCAUUAUCUUUUUUUUUUUUUUUUUUUAAUUAAAUAUACUUUAUUGAAUCUUUCUUAUAAUAAUUACAUUUGGUUUACAUAAUAAGUGGUCAGCUGUGGCUCUUCAGCUUUAGUUUGCUUUUCGUGAUUUAAACACUGUUUAUUUUCAUAACUUUAAAAGUAUAUGAUUUAUCAUUUUUGUAACACUAGGUACAAUGAGGAAAAAAAAAUGUCAAGAAAACAUAACCUAACCUAAAACUAACAUAAUCUUACCAUAAACUAAACCAAUCCUUGAAUCAAGGGGUAUUCAGAUAUAGCACAUUUUUCCCUGAAUUUCAAACAUUUUUCUUGAAUCUUCUGAUCCAACAUUUUAACUUCUGCUAAUUCAUGAACCUCACUUGAUCUUGUCCAGCCAGGAACAUUCAAAACCAUUUUGAGUACCUUAUUUUGGACACGCUGGAGCUUCAAUUUAUGAGUUCUAGCGCAACACUCCCAAACAGGUACUGCAUACUCAAUAACGGGGUAAAUUAUUUGUUUGUAAACUGCUAACUUAUUUUUCAAAGAUAGCUUUGAUUUUCUGUUAAUUAAAGGAUACAAACACCUGAUGAGAAUGCUGCACUUGUUCAAUAUUUUAUCUACAUGCUGCCGAAACAAAAGUUUCGAGUCAAGUAUGAGACCUAAAUAGACAACUUCCUUUGACCAGGGUAUCGAAACAUCAUUCAUUUUAAUCAAAACAUCAUCCUUUGGGACAAAUCUGGCUGAUUUGGAAAGUGGAAAAAUGAUGGUUUGAGUUUUGGCUGCAUUUAUGCGAAUUUUCCAGUCGCCAAAGUAUUCGGAAAGAACGUCAAGACCCUUCUGAAGACGGCCAACUAAAUAUCUGGUUAUUUUACCCUUAUAAAUAACGGCAGUGUCAUCAGCAAAAAGUGACAACACACCAUUACCAGGAAGAGUAGGCAAAUCAGAUGUAAAAAUAUUGUACAGAAGUGGUCCAAGAAUACUUCCUUGGGGAACCCCCGCAUCAAUGUUGAAUAAUCCAGAAGCAAUCCCAUUCAGAAAAACCCUGAACGAUCUCUCCGAAAGAUAGUGCUGGAUAAUUUUGAUAAGAUACAUUGGAAAACCGUAUAAAUACAGUUUAUGUAUCAAACCAUCAUGCCAGACAUUGUCAAAAGCCUUCUCAACAUCCAACAAAGCCAUAGCAGUUGAUUUAGACUCAAGCUUGUUCUGCUUGAUUAUUUUAGUUACUCUCGUAAGCUGAUGAGCAGUAUUAUGUCCCUUGCGGAAGCCAAACUGCUCAUUCAAAAUUAUAUUAUUAUCGUUGGUAAAAUCCAAAAGCCUUGAAUAGAUGACCUUCUCAAAGAGUUUGGAAAGACUACUCAAAAGACUAAUGGGACGAUAACUUGUUGGCGACGUUGGAUCUUUUUGAGGCUUCAAAAUUGGUAUGACUUUGCCCAGCUUCCAAUUGGUAGGGAAGUAACCAAGUUGCAAACAUUUAUUGAAAAUAUUGGCUAGAUGUUGAAAGAACUGAUCACUCUGUUUUUUCAACACCAGAUUAAAAAUGUUAUCAAAGCCAGGAGCUUUCAUAUUUUGCAUUUGUUUUACUGCAACUUUGACUUCCUCACCAGAAACAUGGGAAUCUGCUGGAAAUUCAAAGGUAGAGUUAUUAAUUGUUGAAAUACUAUUGGCAACUGAUGUUUCUUUACGGCUGGUCAUGGAAGCGCCAAGAUUAUGAGAACUAACAAAAUGAAGCCCAAGUGCAUUUGCCUUUUCCUCAGAUGUAAUCAAAGGAGAAUCCUCAACAAUAAGAGGAGGAAUAGGCUUUGGUUUGUUUUUAAGAACU